UACGGAGGGGGCUAGCGUUGUUCGGAAUCACUGGGCGUAAAGCGCACGUAGGCGGCUUGUUAAGUCAGGGGUGAAAUCCUGGAGCUCAACUCCAGAACUGCCUUUGAUACUGGCAAGCUUGGAGUCCGGGAGAGGUGAGUGGAACUGCGAGUGUAGAGGUGAAAUUCGUAGAUAUUCGCAAGAACACCAGUGGCGAAGGCGGCUCACUGGCCCGGUACUGACGCUGAGGUGCGAAAGCGUGGGGAGCAAACAGG
This 254-nucleotide ribosomal RNA is filed under the name uncultured bacterium. Its description in RNAcentral is "partial 16S ribosomal RNA". It matches the Rfam family "Bacterial small subunit ribosomal RNA", at positions 524 to 776 of the family's 1533-position model. The record is from RNAcentral.